AACGAACGCUGGCGGCAUGCCUAACACAUGCAAGUCGAACGAGACCUUCGGGUCUAGUGGCGCACGGGUGCGUAACGCGUGGGAACCUGCCUUUAGGUUCGGAAUAACUCAGAGAAAUUUGAGCUAAUACCGGAUGAUGUCUUUGGACCAAAGAUUUAUCGCCUUUAGAUGGGCCCGCGUUGGAUUAGCUAGUUGGUGGGGUAAAGGCCUACCAAGGCGACGAUCCAUAGCUGGUCUGAGAGGAUGAUCAGCCACACUGGGACUGAGACACGGCCCAGACUCCUACGGGAGGCAGCAGUGGGGAAUAUUGGACAAUGGGCGAAAGCCUGAUCCAGCAAUGCCGCGUGAGUGAUGAAGGCCUUAGGGUUGUAAAGCUCUUUUACCCGAGAUGAUAAUGACAGUAUCGGGAGAAUAAGCUCCGGCUAACUCCGUG
Molecule: ribosomal RNA, 433 nt
Filed under: uncultured bacterium
Lineage: Bacteria
Description: partial 16S ribosomal RNA
Rfam family: Bacterial small subunit ribosomal RNA
Source: RNAcentral